Molecule: long non-coding RNA, 204 nt
Filed under: Bos taurus (domestic cattle)
Lineage: Eukaryota; Metazoa; Chordata; Mammalia; Artiodactyla; Bovidae
Description: long non-coding RNA NONBTAT010951
Source: RNAcentral
GGACAUUCCAAGAUUAUUAGAACCCCAUUUCAUAUUUCAAAGAAUUUACAAUUUAGUCAUUUAUAUGUUCUAGUGAUAGAAAUUGGUAAAGAAUUCUCUAUUAUUUUUUGGUUAUAUAUUUUUCAGACUUUGUGCUAAUUUGAUCAUUGUAAUGAAGUGUUUUCAUAUAUCAGGUUUGCAACAUUUGUGUGCUGCAAAAUGUGA